UGCUGGCAAACAUUGAC
Molecule: unclassified non-coding RNA, 17 nt
Filed under: Mus musculus (house mouse)
Lineage: Eukaryota; Metazoa; Chordata; Mammalia; Rodentia; Muridae
Description: oocyte_clustered_small_RNA4388
Source: RNAcentral